RNAcentral lists this long non-coding RNA (1112 nucleotides) under Drosophila guanche. Lineage: Eukaryota; Metazoa; Arthropoda; Insecta; Diptera; Drosophilidae. The record is from RNAcentral.
CAGAAAAAGUGGGUCUGGAUCGAGUCAGCAAAAUCGGGUCAAGUAGUGUAAUAAAUAAAUUAGUUCCUGUACCCAGCGAAUUUCUUGAAAGUACAUCUGUUAUCCUUUGCAAGAACAGAAAUUCCCUAUUACAACGCUCCAAUCUCUCCGUCCAACUGCCUUGUCAUAAUCAAUAUACCCCAUGAACAUUUCAGUUGUUUUACAAGCAGCCGCGGGCAUGACGUUCUGCCAAUUUGCCCCUCUCCCAGAAAAAGCAGCAUGUAUUGGUUGCAAUUUAUAUGCGCAGGAUCGCUUACAAGCCAGCGAGUUGGGAACGCAAACCGGCAGCAUUCAUGGCCAGUUGCUGCUUUUGCCGCUUCUGCUGAUGCUGUUGUUUUUGUUAUUGUUAUUGUUUGAUGCAUGCACGCUGAUUUUUAUGGUCGGACUAGCGGCCAGAAAAGAAUUCCAACGCAACUGCUAAAGGAGAUGGAGAUGGAAACUAGGAAUGGGACCGCGACCGAGACUGGGCGUUAACUGCGAAGUAAUUGCGUAUCGGCUAUGCGAGUACAUCAAUUGGAUUUGAAAUUUGUACACAUGUUGAUGGAUUCCUGUAGCCAGCCUAUGAGAGGGGUACCUGGCUGACUGACUGGCGGACGGUCACGGUCUCAGGACUGCCGCUGUGCCUUGGAUAGUAAGAAAAGGGAAGAACAUUGAACCAUUUGUCUCUUGAUAAUUAUCAUUUCAGUAUGAUAGCAUCAAUUUUCAAAAACAUUUGAUGAUUUCUGGUGCCUGUGUCGGUCGUUAACGAUAUGUUGUCCAGGCCUGCCAAAUGCUUCUCCGAGGCACCUGGAAACUGCUGAUAAACAAAUACGCUGUACGAAACAGAAGCCAUAGGAUGCAUUGCAUGGCUUGUGAUAUAAAUGUGAGAUUAUAAGUUAUUUCCCGAACAAGAAACUAACAUACAUUUCUGGCUAUCAGUCUAAUUGACUUCCCUUCCUCUUUCAAACAGUACACCCUAAACCCGUUGCAAUUGGUGCAUAUUUCAUAACCAAAAAUUAGCCAAUAAAAAAAAAUCAAAAUGUACGACUUUCCCAAUAGUCCAAGCCAUAACGUAUAAAAUCCCCACGAACGAC